Molecule: transfer RNA, 68 nt
Filed under: Marmota monax (woodchuck)
Lineage: Eukaryota; Metazoa; Chordata; Mammalia; Rodentia; Sciuridae
Description: tRNA.Ala
Source: RNAcentral
GGAUUGUGGCUCAGUGGCAGAGCGCUUGCCUCGCACAUGUGAGGCACUGGGUUCAAUCCUCAGCACCA